GCCGCCGGCCUCCUCCCUUGCUGCCCAGCCCGCAGCCGAGAAGUCCUAGGCGGAGGAGGAGGACCCCUUCGCUGCCAACUACGGCGACGUCCCCGUCGAGGAGAUCCAGUCCAAGGCCUCGCGGCUAAAACCCUAGCCCCGUCGCCGCCGUCCGUCCGUCCGUACUCCUCACCGCAGCCAGCCAGGUUCAGAUCUCGAGGACUUCCGGCCACGAUGGAAGACUGGGCUGCAAAGAGGUGCUAUAAUUCGAGAUGAUGUGCAAAGAGGUUAUGCCCUUUAACAACAAAGGACAGCUGAAGGAAGCUUUCAAUAUCAGGUACCUGUGGUGCGAUGCAUGCGGCUCUGAUUGGUAGGAGUACUUGGAUCAAUAUUUGGAGUAUACUUGGAGUAAUCUGGAGCAGUAAUAUGUAAUAUGUAUCUUGUUUCAAUAUAUUUUUGAAUAUUUGGAGCAAGAGUACAGAAAGAGUAUAGUUCCUGUGCAGUAAUCUGUAUCUUGUUUCAGUAUUUGGAGACUGAUGAUGUACUAGUCCUUGCACUAGUACAACAGAUGUGUUGAUGUGCUCUUGCUUGCAGUGCUUGCACUACUGAAUGAACUGUUGUUCCAUGGUCACAGGGAUCAAAUGAAGAGUGAAUUUGUUUUUAUUCUGAA
Long non-coding RNA from Lolium perenne, 649 nucleotides. RefSeq lists it as uncharacterized. The record is from RefSeq and is a predicted model, not a curated record. NCBI's taxonomy places the organism in Eukaryota, Viridiplantae, Streptophyta, Magnoliopsida, Poales, Poaceae.